GACGAACGCUGGCGGCGUGCCUAAUACAUGCAAGUCGAACGAACCGCGACUAGGUGCUUGCACUUGGUCAAGGUGAGUGGCGAACGGGUGAGUAACACGUGGGUAACCUACCUCAUAGUGGGGGAUAACAGUCGGAAACGACUGCUAAUACCGCAUAGGACAUAGGAUCACAUGAUCCAGUGAGGAAAGGUGGCGCAAGCUAUCGCGAAGAGAUGGACCCGCGGUGCAUUAGCUAGUUGGUAGGGUAAAGGCCUACCAAGGCGAUGAUGCAUAGCCGACCUGAGAGGGUGAUCGGCCACAUUGGGACUGAGACACGGCCCAAACUCCUACGGGAGGCAGCAGUAGGGAAUCUUCCGCAAUGGACGCAAGUCUGACGGAGCAACGCCGCGUGAGUGAAGAAGGUCUUCGGAUCGUAAAGCUCUGUUGUUAGAGAAGAACAGCGCAUAGAGUAACUGUUAUGCGUGUGACGGUAUCUAACCAGAAAGCCACGGCUAACUACGUG
This 502-nucleotide ribosomal RNA is filed under the name uncultured bacterium. Its description in RNAcentral is "partial 16S ribosomal RNA". It matches the Rfam family "Bacterial small subunit ribosomal RNA", at positions 28 to 507 of the family's 1533-position model. The record is from RNAcentral.